AGCGUACACGGUGGAUGCCCUGGCAGUCAGAGGCGAUGAAGGACGUGCUAAUCUGCGAAAAGCGCCGGCGAGGUGAUAUGAACCUUUGACCCGGCGAUGUCCGAAUGGGGAAACCCAGUGCAAUCCGUUGCACUAUCGUUAACUGAAUACAUAGGUUAACGAGGCGAACCGGGGGAACUGAAACAUCUAAGUACCCCGAGGAAAAGAAAUCAACCGAGAUUCCCCCAGUAGCGGCGAGCGAACGGGGAGCAGCCCGGAGUCUGAAUCAGCUUGUGUGUUAGUGGAACGGUCUGGAAAGUCCGACGGUACAGGGUGAUAGUCCCGUACACGAAAGCACACAUGCUGUGAACUCGAAGAGUAGGGCGGGACACGUGGUAUCCUGUCUGAAUAUGGGGGGACCAUCCUCCAAGGCUAAAUACUCCUGACUGACCGAUAGUGAACCAGUACCGUGAGGGAAAGGCGAAAAGAACCCCGGCGAGGGGAGUGAAAAAGAACCUGAAACCGUGUACGUACAAGCAGUGGGAGCCUCUUUAUGGGGUGACUGCGUACCUUUUGUAUAAUGGGUCAGCGACUUAUAUUCUGUAGCAAGGUUAACCGUAUAGGGGAGCCGAAGGGAAACCGAGUCUUAACUGGGCGUUAAGUUGCAGGGUAUAGACCCGAAACCCGGUGAUCUAGCCAUGGGCAGGUUGAAGGUUGGGUAACACUAACUGGAGGACCGAACCGACUAAUGUUGAAAAAUUAGCGGAUGACCUGUGGCUGGGGGUGAAAGGCCAAUCAAACCGGGAGAUAGCUGGUUCUCCCCGAAAGCUAUUUAGGUAGCGCCUCGUGAACUCAUCUUCGGGGGUAGAGCACUGUUUCGGCUAGGGGGCCAUCCCGGCUUACCAACCCGAUGCAAACUACGAAUACCGAAGAAUGUUAUCACGGGAGACACACGGCGGGUGCUAACGUCCGUCGUGAAGAGGGAAACAACCCAGACCGCCAGCUAAGGUCCCAAAGUCAUGGUUAAGUGGGAAACGAUGUGGGAAGGCACAGACAGCCAGGAUGUUGGCUUAGAAGCAGCCAUCAUUUAAAGAAAGCGUAAUAGCUCACUGGUCGAGUCGGCCUGCGCGGAAGAUGUAACGGGGCUAAACCAUGCACCGAAGCUGCGGCAGCGACACUAUGUGUUGUUGGGUAGGGGAGCGUUCUGUAAGCCGUUGAAGGUGUCCUGUGAGGGGUGCUGGAGGUAUCAGAAGUGCGAAUGCUGACAUAAGUAACGAUAAAGCGGGUGAAAAGCCCGCUCGCCGGAAGACCAAGGGUUCCUGUCCAACGUUAAUCGGGGCAGGGUGAGUCGACCCCUAAGGCGAGGCCGAAAGGCGUAGUCGAUGGGAAACAGGUUAAUAUUCCUGUACUUGGUGUUACUGCGAAGGGGGGACGGAGAAGGCUAUGUCAGCCGGGCGACGGUUGUCCCGGUUUAAGCAUGUAGGCGGAGGUUCCAGGUAAAUCCGGUACCUUAUUAACGCUGAGGUGUGAUGACGAGGCACUACGGUGCUGAAGUGAUAAAUGCCCUGCUUCCAGGAAAAGCCUCUAAGCAUCAGGUAACACGAAAUCGUACCCCAAACCGACACAGGUGGUCAGGUAGAGAAUACCAAGGCGCUUGAGAGAACUCGGGUGAAGGAACUAGGCAAAAUGGUGCCGUAACUUCGGGAGAAGGCACGCUGAUAUGUAGGUGAAGUCCCUGCGGACGGAGCUGAAAUCAGUCGAAGAUACCAGCUGGCUGCAACUGUUUAUUAAAAACACAGCACUGUGCAAACACGAAAGUGGACGUAUACGGUGUGACGCCUGCCCGGUGCCGGAAGGUUAAUUGAUGGGGUUAGCGGCAACGCGAAGCUCUUGAUCGAAGCCCCGGUAAACGGCGGCCGUAACUAUAACGGUCCUAAGGUAGCGAAAUUCCUUGUCGGGUAAGUUCCGACCUGCACGAAUGGCGUAAUGAUGGCCAGGCUGUCUCCACCCGAGACUCAGUGAAAUUGAACUCGCUGUGAAGAUGCAGUGUACCCGCGGCAAGACGGAAAGACCCCGUGAACCUUUACUAUAGCUUGACACUGAACACUGGUCCUUGAUGUGUAGGAUAGGUGGGAGGCUUUGAAGCGUGGACGCCAGUCUGCGUGGAGCCAACCUUGAAAUACCACCCUUUAAUGGCUGGUGUUCUAACGUAGACCCGUAAUCCGGGUUGCGGACAGUGUCUGGUGGGUAGUUUGACUGGGGCGGUCUCCUCCCAAAGAGUAACGGAGGAGCACGAAGGUUGGCUAAUCCUGGUCGGACAUCAGGAGGUUAGUGCAAUGGCAUAAGCCAGCUUGACUGCGAGCGUGACGGCGCGAGCAGGUGCGAAAGCAGGUCAUAGUGAUCCGGUGGUUCUGAAUGGAAGGGCCAUCGCUCAACGGAUAAAAGGUACUCCGGGGAUAACAGGCUGAUACCGCCCAAGAGUUCAUAUCGACGGCGGUGUUUGGCACCUCGAUGUCGGCUCAUCACAUCCUGGGGCUGAAGUAGGUCCCAAGGGUAUGGCUGUUCGCCAUUUAAAGUGGUACGCGAGCUGGGUUUAGAACGUCGUGAGACAGUUCGGUCCCUAUCUGCCGUGGGCGCUGGAGAAUUGAGGGGGGCUGCUCCUAGUACGAGAGGACCGGAGUGGACGCAUCACUGGUGUUCGGGUUGUCAUGCCAAUGGCACUGCCCGGUAGCUAAAUGCGGAAGAGAUAAGUGCUGAAAGCAUCUAAGCACGAAACUUGCCCCGAGAUGAGUUCU
This 2774-nucleotide ribosomal RNA is filed under the name Enterobacter cloacae. RNAcentral describes it as "bacterial LSU rRNA". It matches the Rfam family "Bacterial large subunit ribosomal RNA". The record is from RNAcentral. Lineage: Bacteria; Pseudomonadati; Pseudomonadota; Gammaproteobacteria; Enterobacterales; Enterobacteriaceae.